AGCAGCCGCGGUAAUUCCAGCUCCAAUAGCGUAUAUUAAAGUUGUUGCAGUUAAAAGCUCGUAGUUGAAUUUCGGAACCGAUGGAUCGGUCACGCCAUUCGGUGCGUACUGGUUUAAUUGGUUCUCACCUUCUAAGGAACCGUGAUGUCAUUAAUUUGGUGUCGCGGGGAAUUAGGACUGUUACCUUGAAAAAUUAGAGUGUUUAAAGCAAGCUCACGCUUGAAUACAUUAGCAUGGAAUAAUGAAAUAGGACAUUGUAUUCUAUUUUGUUGGUUUCUAGGAUCGAUGUAAUGAUUAAUAGGGAUAGUUGGGGGCAUUAGUAUUCAAUUGUCAGAGGUGAAAUUCUUGGUAUUUAUUGAAGACUAACUACUGCGAAAGCAUUUG
This 384-nucleotide ribosomal RNA is filed under the name uncultured Glomeromycotina. Its description in RNAcentral is "bacterial SSU rRNA". It matches the Rfam family "Eukaryotic small subunit ribosomal RNA", at positions 569 to 957 of the family's 1831-position model. The record is from RNAcentral. Lineage: Eukaryota; Fungi; Glomeromycota.